This 462-nucleotide long non-coding RNA is filed under the name Androctonus crassicauda. Lineage: Eukaryota; Metazoa; Arthropoda; Arachnida; Scorpiones; Buthidae. The record is from RNAcentral.
ACAAUUUGUUAUAUGCCGUAGAUGGUUUCUUUUUCAUUUUUGCAUCCGAAACAUCCUUUUACCGAACGGACUUCUUUCAACAUGAAAGUGUAAAGAGAGAGUUUCCUCCUAUCGACCAGUUAGUUACUCGAAAACUUCGAAAGCUCAACACACUUCAUUUCAAUGCAGCAGCAGCGCAAAUGUGCUCAAAGAAAAGUUAUGUAAAUUGAUGUCAAAUAAGGCUUUAUUACAGCAAGCCGACAUUAUAAUUGAAAGAGAUGGGAAUAUAAUUAGGAUUACAGAUAGAAUUAAUGAGAUAAUGCACCCGAUCAGUUGUAAGUUACCGAUCGUAAGCGUCUUAAUCCUAACUAUACUUCCAUUUUUAACUUGUGAUAUCGACCUUAUCGUCAAUUUUUUCACUUGUGUUGUUACGUGCAACGACUUUCAUUUUUUUUUUUUUUUUUUUUUGAAACUGAAGCAGGC